RNAcentral lists this ribosomal RNA (712 nucleotides) under Procladius dentus. RNAcentral's name for it is "partial 28S ribosomal RNA". It matches the Rfam family "Eukaryotic large subunit ribosomal RNA", at positions 386 to 944 of the family's 3401-position model. The record is from RNAcentral. Lineage: Eukaryota; Metazoa; Arthropoda; Insecta; Diptera; Chironomidae.
UGUCUAGGGGUUCAAACCUAAAGAACCCAAAUAUCUAAACGAAGAGAUUCAAUACUCUCCGCCCCUCAAAAAGGGUGGAGAGUGUGCACUUCUCUUUUAGUAAGACGUUGUGAUCCAUUAGAAAUUGAUUAUCCCAUAUGGUUUGAUAAUCAUUGGGCUACCAAUAGACUGAUAUUGAAGUUCACAAUGACAAAUAAUAAAAUCAUUCAUAACGAUUCUAUAUAUUGUCUUGUGAGCAUGUCAUGUACUGGUGUAGCUGUCUGAUGGAUUUUAAAGGUCAUAAUAUUAAUAUCCUUUGUGGUAUUACGGCGCAAGCAAUUGUGGCGUUUAAAUUAUGUGCCCGAUCAACAACGGUUACAUUUGGGAUACCUUUGGGACCCGUCUUGAAACACGGACCAAGGAGUCUAUCUAGUAUGCAAGUAAAUGGGCCUUAUUAAAAACCUAUUUGCGUAAAUAACUUGACUGUUGUAUACAAUGGGAUUACGAGUAUUGUUUUAAUAAUGCUCCUCCAUCCCGGGGUAUUUUCACAACAUAUAUGGGCAACUAUAUAUAGAAAAUAUACCAUGAGCAUACUGGAUAUGACCCGAAAGAUGGUGAACUAUGCCUGAUCAGGUUGAAGUCAGGGGAAACCCUGAUGGAGGACCGAAGCAAUUCUGACGUGCAAAUCGAUUGUCAGAAUUGGGCAUAGGGGCGAAAGACCAAUCGAACCAUC